This 454-nucleotide ribosomal RNA is filed under the name uncultured actinomycete. RNAcentral's name for it is "bacterial SSU rRNA". It matches the Rfam family "Bacterial small subunit ribosomal RNA", at positions 514 to 965 of the family's 1533-position model. The record is from RNAcentral. Lineage: Bacteria; Bacillati; Actinomycetota; Actinomycetes; Actinomycetales.
GCCGCGGUAAGACGUAGGGCGCGAGCGUUGUCCGGAUUUAUUGGGCGUAAAGAGCUCGUAGGCGGCUUGUCGCGUCGAAUGUGAAAUCCCGUGGCUCAACUGCGGGUCUGCAUUCGAUACGGGCAGGCUAGAGUUCGGUAGGGGAGACUGGAAUUCCUGGUGUAGCGGUGAAAUGCGCAGAUAUCAGGAGGAACACCGGUGGCGAAGGCGGGUCUCUGGGCCGAUACUGACGCUGAGGAGCGAAAGCGUGGGGAGCGAACAGGAUUAGAUACCCUGGUAGUCCACGCUGUAAACGUUGGGCGCUAGGUGUGGGGGGCCUCUCCGGUUCUCUGUGCCGCAGCUAACGCAUUAAGCGCCCCGCCUGGGGAGUACGGCCGCAAGGCUAAAACUCAAAGGAAUUGACGGGGGCCCGCACAAGCGGCGGAGCAUGCGGAUUAAUUCGAUGCGACGCGAA